This is a long non-coding RNA of Diabrotica virgifera virgifera (western corn rootworm), 1027 nucleotides long. RefSeq lists it as uncharacterized. Lineage: Eukaryota; Metazoa; Arthropoda; Insecta; Coleoptera; Chrysomelidae. The record is from RefSeq and is a predicted model, not a curated record. The transcript is spliced from 3 exons.
UGUGCCAAGCCAAAUUAGGCAAUCCAAACCACGUGACCUCUGGUUGGCACACAAACUAACAAAGAGGUUAUGUUUGUAUCUAUUUUUCAAUAAUUUUUCAUUGUUUAUCGUCGUAUUUUGGAUUCAUUUGGAUUUCGUUUCCUGUUUUUGCGAACUUUAUAAACUUUACCACAAUGCAAACUGAUUAUUUAAGGAAAUUAUUAUUGGAAACUCCAGAUGUUGCGAGAAAGAUAUUUAUUGAAGCUGAAAAUAAUUGGGGAUUUAGAUCCAUACGCAAUUCAGUCAGAAUUGGAUUUUACAGUAAAGUGCAGUCCAUCAAGUUACUAUUAUAGAUAUUUAUACAUAUACAUAUCUGGUGGAGUCUGAUAUGUCACAGUUGCUACUCUAAGCAGCAGAUGAAAGCAUACAAAAGCCUUCAGGCACAUAAAUAUUUUACAGCUGGAUUUGUUUUGAAUGGAGUAAAAAUUGUUAAUGAUUUCCUGAUUUCCAUAUUAUUGUCGGAAAGGUGAAUAUUUCCAAAAAUCUAAUGCUAAAUGACUAAAUGCUUGGGUGGGGUGAUAGCCAGUUCUGAUGACAUAGCAAAUUCACAUUGUAUGCGUAUGGCCGGUAAUAGUGAAGUCUGCAGCCAUAUUGCAGCAAUCCUAUUUUUAGCUUAGUAUGCUCAGGGCAAGACAGACGAAGAAGAACCCAAUGUAUGUACAUAUGUUACAGCUACAUGGUUUGGAGAUAGCAACAUAUGCAUUCUCUGAUGAAAAACUAAUGAAUUUUGAAACUGUUCGGUCAGAGUGCUUGUUGCACUCACUAAACGAAUUGAAAUAUAAGAUGGCUUUGGCAUUGUGUUUUAGUGAUAUGAAAAUGGUUAUUCAUUUUUAAUUAUAAUGUACUUCUUCAUCAUGAGUAAUUAUGUAUUGGUCUUUUAAAUGUGUAUUUAUUUUUGUAAUUAGUAUCAACUUGUAAUGAUAAUAUACAUUUAUCGUUUAAGGUAUGACUAUGUUUUGACUCUAAAAUAAAUGUUUUAAAAAUCAAA